Molecule: ribosomal RNA, 236 nt
Filed under: uncultured bacterium
Lineage: Bacteria
Description: partial 16S ribosomal RNA
Rfam family: Bacterial small subunit ribosomal RNA
Source: RNAcentral
UGGGCAACCUGCCCCUCUCUCUGGGAUAACCCCCGGGGAAACCGGAGCUAAUACCGGAUACUCCGGCUGGAUCGCAUGGUCCGGCCGGGAAAGGUCCGCCGGAGAGGGAGGGGCCCGCGGCCUAUCAGCUUGUUGGGCGGGGUCAUGGCUCACCAAGGCGACGACGGGUAGCUGGUCUGAGAGGACGACCAGCCACACCGGAACUGAGAUACGGUCCAGACUCCGUACGGGAGGCG